UAUCUAUAAUACGAAGACGUAAGUGGCAAUGCAGACCAAACAAUGCAGGGGAUUCCGCUCACACAAGAAGAAAGAAGAGCUGGACGACGGAGAAGCACAUGGCGCAGGACAGUCGAGGCGGAUUCAUCGUCACUAGGCAAGAGUUGGAGGGAGCUGAAACACAUCUCCGGAAACCGUACACGAUGGCGCGUAGGCGUAGUAGAGGCCUUAUGCCCCUUAAGGGAACCGUUUUUAAUAUGAUUUUCUUGAUUCGGCUGAUACGUGUCUUUUUUGGGAAUCUUUAAAAUAAAUGUUGAUAACAGUGUUACCUUUACUAAUUAUUUCCCGGGGCGAGAGCACGGUUGCCACUUAAAAAGAAAUUGCAUGACCAAACCUGAAAAUAAAAAUGACCAAUUGUACCAAAAAGUUAGCAAAAUAAUUUGUGUCUGCAAUGGUUUUUAACUUCCCAUAGAAAGAAAGUUAUUGUAAUCGGUCCAAUUUGUCGAAUUGAAAACUUAUACCUCGAAGUUUCAAGGUUCCUAGGGUUUAAAUAAAAGGGUUUUGGUGAGAUUUACGUCCGUAAUUUUGUUUAACCCCAAAUAUUUCACGAACCAAUAACUCUAACGGUAACUUGACUACUAACAAGCAUUAAAAAAAAAAAAAAUAAUUUACGGUUUUUUUUUAAUAAAUAAAAAAAACUGAAACGAAUAAUUGUGAUCUCGAAUAUUUUACGAAUAAAAAAUGAUAUCUCUGAAAUGAUUGUAUGCAAUGAAGAACAACGUUUUUAUCUGUAAAGUUUUGAGAAAAAUCGAAUUAAUAUUUUUUUGCAAAAAAUAAAAAUCUAAAAAAAAACAAUACUAAAAGUUGGUAAAAAUUGAUUUUCGACUCAAAUAUCUUUUAAAAAACUUUCGAUAUUAGCUUGUAAGUUAUAAAAAAUAUUACUGUCAACAUUCAGAAAAGUUUUGAGAAAAAUCAAAUUUAAAGUUUUUUUUUACAAAAAAGAAAAACCUAAAAAAACUAAAAAAAUUUACUUUAAAUAUCUUUUCAAAAAUUACAAAUAUUGGUUUCAAACUAAUUUUAUCUCACAUACAAUUUUGUUUGUCAUUUUUUUCAUAAACAAAUUAAAAUCUACAAAAAAUAGUACGUUACAAACGAACUUACUCUAAUUUUAAAAAAAAUAUUCAUUUAAAGCAUUUUUAUGAUAACUGACUUAUUCCCAACAUUCUGACAUAUCAAUUUUCUCCGUAAGAUUAUAAGAUUCUGAGGUGUUAGGCCAUCUGUCAUUAAAUUGUGAAAUUAAAUGCAUAUAAUGGUCGCAUUCACAAAGCUAUAGUGGCUACGUAGACAAGGGAUUCUGAUUGGCUAAAUCCAACAACAAAAGUAGUUGAAAUUUCCCCUCCGACGUAGUGUACAAAAUUCGGCUACAAAGUUAGUGGAGAAUGGUUUUGAAGUUUCAAAAUCAGCUGCUCGGUAAAACGCACUAAUUCAAAAUGAAGAAAAUCGUUCAGU
Molecule: long non-coding RNA, 1488 nt
Organism: Eupeodes corollae
Lineage: Eukaryota; Metazoa; Arthropoda; Insecta; Diptera; Syrphidae
Exons: 2
Source: RefSeq, a predicted model, not a curated record